GAUGAACGCUGGCGGCGUGCCUAAUACAUGCAAGUCGAGCGAACAGACGAGGAGCUUGCUCCUCUGACGUUAGCGGCGGACGGGUGAGUAACACGUGGAUAACCUACCUAUAAGACUGGGAUAACUUAGGGAAACCGGAGCUAAUACCGGAUAAUAUAUUGAACCGCAUGGUUCAAUAGUGAAAGACGGUUUUGCUGUCACUUAUAGAUGGAUCCGCGCCGCAUUAGGUAGUUGGUAAGGUAACGGCUUACCAAGGCAACGAUGCGUAGCCGACCUGAAGGGACGAACAGCCACACUGGGACGGAGACACGGCCCAGACUCCUACGGGGGGCAGCAGUGGGGAAUUUUCCCCAAUGGGCGAAAGCCUGAUCGAGCCACGCCGGGUGGAGGACGAAGGGCUUCGGGUUGUAAAAUUCUUUUAUUUGGGAAGAACAAAUGUGUAAGUAACUAUGCACGUCUUGACGGUACCUAAUCAGAAAGCCACGGCUAACUACGUG
RNAcentral lists this ribosomal RNA (497 nucleotides) under uncultured bacterium. RNAcentral's name for it is "partial 16S ribosomal RNA". It matches the Rfam family "Bacterial small subunit ribosomal RNA", at positions 28 to 507 of the family's 1533-position model. The record is from RNAcentral.